AUUCAGCUGACGAGUCUUAUAUAGGACGAAACGCACAUCAAGCUGGAU
This 48-nucleotide non-coding RNA is filed under the name Schistosoma margrebowiei. Lineage: Eukaryota; Metazoa; Platyhelminthes; Trematoda; Strigeidida; Schistosomatidae. The record is from RNAcentral.